RNAcentral lists this ribosomal RNA (253 nucleotides) under uncultured bacterium. RNAcentral describes it as "partial 16S ribosomal RNA". It matches the Rfam family "Bacterial small subunit ribosomal RNA", at positions 524 to 776 of the family's 1533-position model. The record is from RNAcentral.
UACGUAGGGGGCCAGCGUUGUCCGGAUUUAUUGGGCGUAAAGAGCGCGUAGGCGGCCGAGUAAGUCCGACGUGAAAUCUGGAGGCUCAACCUCCAGCGGUCGUUGGAAACUACUCGGCUAGAGUCCGGAAGAGGAGAGUGGAAUUCCUGGUGUAGCGGUGAAAUGCGCAGAUAUCAGGAAGAACACCGAUGGCGAAAGCAGCUCUCUGGGACGGUACUGACGCUGAGGCGCGAAAGCGUGGGGAGCGAACAGG